This is a transfer RNA of Sordaria macrospora k-hell, 72 nucleotides long. It matches the Rfam family "tRNA". From Rfam's summary of the family: Transfer RNA (tRNA) molecules are approximately 80 nucleotides in length. The record is from Rfam. NCBI's taxonomy places the organism in Eukaryota, Fungi, Ascomycota, Sordariomycetes, Sordariales, Sordariaceae.
GAUUCUUUAACUUAACUGGUAAAGUGCAUUAUUGAUAAUAAUGAUAUUCAAGUUCGAGUCUUGAAAGAAUUA